UGUAACAUCAUCUAGCAUGACCGGUUUGGCGGUGGGUCAGUGAUGGUCACGCAGGUAAAAUUCACCAUGGCGUCUCUAGACUCUUUUACGUCUGUCACAUGCUCAGUGUGAACCUACUCUCAUCUGUCACGAGAACGAGGCACCAAUGGCAGACAUGCCAAUUGUGGCAAACUCUGGCAAAUGCCAAUCAAGCUGCAUGGUGCUGAACUGUGACCACAGGUCCCACUAGAUGAUGUCGGGCUGUCAUGCAACCCUCAUGGAGUCUGUUUCUGACAGUUUGGUCAGAAACAUGCACACCAGUAGCCUGCAGGAGGUCAUUUUGUAGGGCUCUGGGAGUGCUCCUUCUGUUUCUCCUCGCACAAAGAACUGAAGGUCUGGCUGCUGGGUUGAUGCCCUGUCCAGCUCUCCUUGUGUAACAGCCGUCUCCUGGUAUCUCUUCCGUGUUCUUGAGACUGGACCGGGAGACAUAGCAACCCUUCUUGCUACAGCACCUAUGGAUGUGCCAUCCUGGAGGAGCUGGACUACCUGUGCAACCUGAAUGGUCUGCAGGUACACUGCAAAACAUAUGUGGCUUAUCAAGUGUAUGUAUUUUAUCUUCAGGUUAAAAAUCCCUAAAAUAAGGAAUAUUUUUCUUAACAAGCUAGAUUAUAUUGCUUGUUUUUAGAAUGUAUGCCUUGAAUAUCGUGUAAUUUGUCUUGUUCCAUUGGCAGAUUAUUUCAAGCAAAUAUCUUCUCAAAUUUAGUUAAAUUGUCAUUUAAGAUACUAGCAAAAUGCAAAACUAGAGAAGAAUCAGUCAGUCAGGAUAAGGAGAGAGCAAUUGUAUGUGGCCAUCACCCGCAAAACUCUUCCCUUUUUGGGGGUUUUCUUGUUGUUGCCUUUCCAGUGCACCUGUUGUCACUUUCAUUUGUAUCAAACAGGUGACAUUGUUUCACAAUAGCUUAUGCUUCCUGUUGUACUUUCGUUAAGAUUUAGAAAUAUUCAAGGAGGCUCUGGGUGUACGCAGACUAACUUAUACCAUGAAGUUUUAUUAACAACUUUCAGAUACGUUACAUCAGUGCUCACUCUUCAGCGGCAGCAUACACACUGAACCUUCUAGAGCAUAAACAUUGCUAACAAAUUCUAUAGCCAAUAAGAACAAACACUGCAAUAUUUCUGGAAUGUGAUUGGUUCUUAGCAGAACGUAAGAAUACUACAUCCCCCUUCUUUUGAAAUAAAACAAUGCAAGGAAAAUAUUGCAAAAACCCCAUUACAUGAAAUAAACAUAUAGCUUUCAAGAGUCACAUGCACAAACUAAAUCACAUGUAUUAUUAUAGCAAAGUACUGGUAUACUGUAGGUGUUCAUAUAUUAUUGGAUUGUCACAUGACAAAACACAAACUGCAUUGAACAUUUCUUUUUUCUAAGGGCAGCGAUCCGCCUACACCCUUGUACAAUCACAGAUCCAGAAUAACGCUGGGUUUAAUCUGGCGUCCGUACCUGGAUCCGCAAAUGACGGAUUUGGGCAGAUCAUCAGUGUGGUCAGGUGUGUGUGUAAUGUCACUGUGUGGUGCACUGUUGAUUGGUGUUUCCCAUAGCUCAGCACCAUCAUGACCUAAAGAGAUGUCAGAACUGCCCUGAGGUUCCUUUGUGUCCAGGAGGUGGCGUCUGUUUCGCCGAUAUUCCCGUCCAUCAGAGGAGCUGCUGAUUGGUGUUUGGUAGGGUUGACCGCAGACGGCGACUCAUCAACAGCUGAGCUGGGGACUUGAAACCAUCAACAGGGCUAUUGCGAUACUCCAGGAGACUGAGGAUCUGGCAAACGUCGCAAACUCACCCGAGCUGUACUGGGGGCCGUUGUCUGAGAUGACAGCCUCUGGAAUGCCAUGUCGGGCAAAAGCGGCUUUUAGUUUAUCUAUCACAGCAGUUGAGGUGGUGCUGCUGAGCUUGUCCAGCUCAAAAUAUCUGCUGUAGUAGUCUACUGUCACAAGAUAAUCCUCAUUGCUUCAGGCCAGAACAUGAUGUCACGGGCUCUCUGCUUGGUUUUCUCUAUGCCUAAGUGACUGGCAUGUACGCGUGACAGCAUGUCUGAACGAAGACUUGUGGGAACAACAACUUUUUCACCUUUGAAGAUGAUUCCAUGCAGGUCACAUUUGCCUUUUACCGCCAGGCGUUCACCACCAUAGCCAAACAAUGGGCGAGAUGUCGGCUGCAGAUUGUUCAGCUUGUCAUACUCGUACAGGGGAAUGACGUUGGCAGAUGAUCCAGUGUCUCGCUUAAACUUAACUUCAAGUUGUCUUGGACCCAUUUUAAUAUACACAAAAGCUUGCUCUGUGUCUGAACUCUGUCUGCCCUGUGUCACUGAAUCAAUAAACAGCUCUUCAUCAUACUCA
Molecule: long non-coding RNA, 2364 nt
Organism: Esox lucius (northern pike)
Lineage: Eukaryota; Metazoa; Chordata; Actinopteri; Esociformes; Esocidae
Exons: 5
Source: RefSeq, a predicted model, not a curated record